RNAcentral lists this ribosomal RNA (334 nucleotides) under uncultured Pseudomonadota bacterium. RNAcentral's name for it is "bacterial SSU rRNA". It matches the Rfam family "Bacterial small subunit ribosomal RNA", at positions 29 to 351 of the family's 1533-position model. Lineage: Bacteria; Pseudomonadati; Pseudomonadota. The record is from RNAcentral.
AGCGAACGUUAGCGGCGGGCCUAACACAUGCAAGUCGAGCGAGAAAGGGGCUUCGGCCCUGAGUAAAGCGGCGGACGGGUGAGUAACACGUAGGUAAUCUUCCCUCGAGCGGGGGACAACGGUCCGAAAGGACCGCUAAUACCGCAUACGUUUCCGAGGACUCCGGUUCUUGGAAGGAAAGCUAGGCAGCAAUGUCCGGCACUCGAGGAGGAGCCUGCGUCGCAUCAGCUAGUUGGUGGGGUAACGCCUACCAAGGCGAAGACGCGUAGCUGGUCUGAGAGGAUGAUCAGCCACACUGGGACUGAGACACGGCCCAGACUCCUACGGGAGGCUG